UGGUUGAUCCUGUGGUUGAUCCUGCCAGUAGUCAUAUGCUUGUCUUAAAGAUAUAGAGCCAUCGCAUGUCUAAGUAUAAGUCUUUUAUAUGGUGAAACUGCGAAUGCGCUCAUUAAAACAGUUAUAGUUUAUUUGAUGUUUGUUUCUACAUGGAUAACCGUGGCUAAUUGUAGGGCUAAUACAUGCUCGACAGCUGUUUACGCAGAUUGCGUUUAUUAGAUCUCUAAAACCUCCCCGCUUUUGCGGUGUUUCGUGUGAUUCGAUAAUAAACUCUAGCGAAUCGCACUGGCUUUGCCGGCGAUGUAUCAUUCAAGUUUCUGACCUAUCAGCUUUGGACGGUAGGGUAUUGGCCUACCGGGGCAACGACGGGUAACGGGGAAUUAGGGUUCGAUUCCGGAGAGGGAGCCUGAGAAACGGCUACCACAUCUAAGGAAGCAGCAGGCA
This 444-nucleotide ribosomal RNA is filed under the name Theileria equi. RNAcentral describes it as "SSU rRNA". It matches the Rfam family "Eukaryotic small subunit ribosomal RNA", at positions 1 to 434 of the family's 1831-position model. Lineage: Eukaryota; Apicomplexa; Aconoidasida; Piroplasmida; Theileriidae. The record is from RNAcentral.